This 223-nucleotide unclassified non-coding RNA is filed under the name Hevea brasiliensis (rubber tree). The record is from RNAcentral. Lineage: Eukaryota; Viridiplantae; Streptophyta; Magnoliopsida; Malpighiales; Euphorbiaceae.
UCGUACUCAGAUAAACCCUGGAGAUCAGACGUUACGAAGGCUUCAAUUCCUUUCCUCCCGAGCUUAACCCUCGAUGCAAAGAAGGGAAGCUCAGUUAGAUCAGACUGCACAAAAGUGCACUCAUAUACAUCAGUAUCUCCAUCCAAAGCACGAAGAGAUGAUUCCACAAAUCUUGCUGCAGCAUAUGCCAUUGAAAGGGUAGCAGAUCCUGCCCCUGCCUUCG